This 289-nucleotide long non-coding RNA is filed under the name Homo sapiens (human). RNAcentral describes it as "HSALNT0177952". Lineage: Eukaryota; Metazoa; Chordata; Mammalia; Primates; Hominidae. The record is from RNAcentral.
CCAGGAGAUCCUGAACUACAUCAGCAGGAAAGAGUUUGAGCCCCUCCUCAGGGUGGACCAGCUCAACCUGGAGCGGGAGAAGCACAAGGUCUUCCUUCGAUUCAGUGAGGAGGAGAUCUCCUUCCCACCCACCUACCGCUAUGAGCGGGGUUCCCGGGACACAUAUGCCUGGCACAAGCAGAAGCCAACUGGGGUCCGGACCAAUGUGCCCUCAUGGUGUGACCGGAUUCUGUGGAAAUCCUACCCUGAAACUCACAUCAUCUGCAAUUCUUAUGGUCAGAGCCUCCCG